This 453-nucleotide ribosomal RNA is filed under the name uncultured bacterium. RNAcentral describes it as "bacterial SSU rRNA". It matches the Rfam family "Bacterial small subunit ribosomal RNA", at positions 340 to 784 of the family's 1533-position model. The record is from RNAcentral.
UACGGGAGGCAGCAGGGGGGAAUAUUGCACAAUGGGCGCAAGCCUGAUGCAGCCAUGCCGCGUGUAUGAAGAAGGCCUUCGGGUUGUAAAGUACUUUCAGUCGUGAGGAAGGUGUUAAGGUUAAUAACCUUAGCAAUUGACGUUAGCGACAGAAGAAGCACCGGCUAACUCCGUGCCAGCAGCCGCGGUAAUACGGAGGGUGCGAGCGUUAAUCGGAAUUACUGGGCGUAAAGGGCACGCAGGCGGUUAAUUAAGUUGGAUGUGAAAUCCCCGGGCUUAACCUGGGAAUGGCAUUCAAGCUGGUUAGCUAGAGUCUUGUAGAGGGGGGUUAGAAUUCCAUGUGUAGCGGUGAAAUGCGUAGAGAUGUGGAGGAAUACCGGUGGCGAAGGCGGCCCCUGGACAAAGACUGACGCUCAUGUGCGAAAGCGUGGGGAGCGAAACAGGGAUUAGAUA